GCAAGAAGUGAAGUGAAUGGUUGUGGUUUUUAAAAAGCAGCUAAAAUGAGGAAACAGUAUUAAAAUCUGGUUGGCAUUAUGAAAUAGACCUACAGAGGAAAUGCUAGUUUAAAAGGAGGCUCAGCCCUGUUCUUAGAGCCCUAGAAAUUCAGGUUUUUCAUGAUGUGUCUGAAUCUGCAUUCUCCUCCCCCAUGUCUCCAUCCUGUUCCCCUCCCACCACCAGUCUGAUUGAGCUUGACCAGCAGCUGCUGACUCAAUCCUACACUGGCUGCACAUGGUUAGAGGAAUGUUAAUUAUUGCCUGUAAUCUGCAUCGUUUCCUGGAGAAAAUGACAAGGGUAACUAGGCUCGUUUAAGAAAUAUAGACAUUUAGAGAGGUACCUGGAAGAAUGGUUUUCUCAGAGUAAAGAUGUUGAUGAGAAGGCAAGAAAACUGCUCAGAACUCUUCUAGGAAAAACAGAAGAGAGCCAACAUCUACAGAGAAUAAAGAUGAAGAAGCAAAAGCUAUGAGAGCUAAAGGCAUAAAAUACUAAGACUUCCCUCUGUUCAGUAGUUGCCGUGGAACACAUAGGCCAUGGAAACUGGAUAAAGUAUGA
Molecule: long non-coding RNA, 595 nt
Organism: Sus scrofa (pig)
Lineage: Eukaryota; Metazoa; Chordata; Mammalia; Artiodactyla; Suidae
Source: RefSeq, a predicted model, not a curated record